UUCUUUAUCUAGAAUCCACCACUAGUGCAUUUUCCCUUAUUAACCCUUUAUUUGAACUCCCUCUUCCUCCAUCAACAUUCUUUGAGUAUGCAUGUUUGAUUCCUUCUUCAUUUUGCUGGGUAAUCCUCACUUUUUUUGGUUUUUUUCGGUUGAAAAUUUGAUCUGAAUUAAUCAUACUUCAUCUUCAUCUUCAUUUCUUUAUAAACCCUAGAUCUGAAAGUAGUCAGUUAUUUUUGGGUUUUUUCGGUUCAUAUAUUGAUCUGAACUUGGUUGUUCCAUACUUCAUCUGGGUAUUCCUCACAUUUUGUUUUUUUUUUUUGUUGUUGAAAACCUGAGUUCACUCUGGAUUAUUUUUGUGUGUUUUUUUAGUUCAUAUUCUGAUAUGAAAGUAUGGUUUUUAGAUUGUUUUUGUGGGUUUUUUCAAUUGAUUUCAUUUUCAACUGAUUUUCUUGAUCUACAUCUGACUUUCGGUUGAUUUCAUUUUCAAGUCAUUUUCUUGAACUACAUCUGCUUUUCGAUUGAAGAUCUUCAUAUUCGUUUGAUUUUCUUGAUCAGUUUCUCAUUUUCAUCUGAUUUCGUUUGAUUUUCUAGAAAAAUGGGUGAUUUAAACAAGAAAAUAAAUGGGGUUUCUGUUUUAUCUAGUAUGUGCCUUAAGAACAUUAACUGAAUUUCGGUAAUGUGUUAACAGUGGGCGGGAUUAUCUGGGACAAAAUGAAGUUAAGUGUAACAUUUGGGAAAUUAAUAUUUUAAGACGAGUAAGUUUAAGAGAAUUAUCAGUGCAAGAAUGAUCUUAAAUACACAUGACAUUAAACAUUCUCAAUUUAAUUUCUUCCCUCUUUUCCUUUUCUUUUAUUUCGAUUAAAAUACCUAAACCCUUUCUCCCUUUCUCACGUCGACAACCCAGAAGCCAAGAACACCUUCCCUUCCACGACAUUCCUCUUUGAACCUUCAAACCCGUAUUUCUCUAAAUUUCUUUGAAGAAAACGUCAAUGGCUGCGAGGGCAUGACCCGUUCUUCUUCCCUCUGAUCUUCGAAGGACCUGCAUGCGAAAUCAGUGAGUCCUUCUUCUUCCCUUCGUGAUUUUCAAGAAUCAUCUGAAAAAUUCCCUUCCUUGACCUUGAAUUCUACCGAUUUGGGGAAGGAUUGAGUGAGUUUUGGUCCUGUUGAUUAAACAUCAAAUCCAAGCCGAAAAUAAAGCAUUGAACCUGAAUUUUCCGUUUCUUGCUGCUGCAAACAGAAGAAUUGAUGAUUAAAAUUGGACUAAAUCCUCAAGCUUAUGAAAUGAAGUUGAAGUAAAAUGAUAAAGAAGAUAAGAUAAUGUGGGAAAGAUAAAGUAAAUAGGCUAGUUAGUAGAAUUUCAUUUUGGUGGGAAACAAAAUCAUCCUAGCAGCAUUGUUUUGGUGGGAAACAAAAUUUCCAUAAUGUAAUAUAUUGUGUUUUGGUGGGAAAUUAAGUCCCCACAUGUAAUCAUUUAUCUUUCUCUUUAAAAAACACUAUUUUUUAUACUUUUACAUUACUCAAAAAUUGAUUUCUUAAACCCAUGUGAAAAGGGUAAAAUAGAGAUUUUGUAGGAAAAAGAACCCUUUCUUAAAAAUUGUGCCAAACAGUAA
Amaranthus tricolor (Joseph's coat) is the source of this 1610-nucleotide long non-coding RNA. RefSeq lists it as uncharacterized. The record is from RefSeq and is a predicted model, not a curated record. The transcript has 3 exons. NCBI's taxonomy places the organism in Eukaryota, Viridiplantae, Streptophyta, Magnoliopsida, Caryophyllales, Amaranthaceae.